Molecule: ribosomal RNA, 322 nt
Filed under: uncultured Shewanella sp.
Lineage: Bacteria; Pseudomonadati; Pseudomonadota; Gammaproteobacteria; Alteromonadales; Shewanellaceae
Description: bacterial SSU rRNA
Rfam family: Bacterial small subunit ribosomal RNA
Source: RNAcentral
CGGCUAACUCCGUGCCAGCAGCCGCGGUAAUACGGAGGGUCCGAGCGUUAAUCGGAAUUACUGGGCGUAAAGCGUGCGCAGGCGGUUUGUUAAGCGAGAUGUGAAAGCCCUGGGCUCAACCUAGGAAUAGCAUUUCGAACUGGCGAACUAGAGUCUUGUAGAGGGGGGUAGAAUUCCAGGUGUAGCGGUGAAAUGCGUAGAGAUCUGGAGGAAUACCGGUGGCGAAGGCGGCCCCCUGGACAAAGACUGACGCUCGUGCACGAAAGCGUGGGGAGCAAACAGGAUUAGAUACCCUGGUAGUCCACGCCGUAAACGAUGUCUA